AUCUAUUUAGUACAUUCAGUAUAUUUGAUUUCCAAUCAAAAGAUUUAUUUAAUAAAAUAGAUA
This 63-nucleotide transfer RNA is filed under the name Truljalia hibinonis. RNAcentral's name for it is "tRNA-Gly". The record is from RNAcentral. Lineage: Eukaryota; Metazoa; Arthropoda; Insecta; Orthoptera; Gryllidae.